AGAGUUUGAUCAUGGCUCAGGAUGAACGCUGGCUGUGUGCCUAAUACAUGCAUGUCGAGCGAAGCACUUCGGUGCUUAGCGGCGAAUGGGUGAGUAACACGUACUUAACCUACCCCCAAGAUUGGGACAACACCUGGAAACGGGUGCUAAUACCAAAUACGUAUUUUUAUCGCAUGAUAGAAAUAUAAAAGGAGCUUCGGCUUCACUAGGGGAUGGGAGUGCGCUACAUUAGUUAGUUGGUAGGGCAAUGGCCUACCAAGACGAUGAUGUAUAGCGGGGCCGAGAGGCUGAUCCGCCACACUGGGACUGAGAUACGGCCCAGACUCCUACGGGAGGCAGCAGUAGGGAAUUUUCCACAAUGAACGAAAGUUUGAUGGAGCGACACAGCGUGCAGGAUGAAGGUCUUCGGAUCGUAAACUGCUGUUAUAAGGGAAGAAAAACUUUAGUAGGUAAUGACUAGAACUUGACGGUACCUUAUCAGAAAGCGACGGCUAACUAUGUGCCAGCAGCCGCGGUAAU
RNAcentral lists this ribosomal RNA (519 nucleotides) under uncultured bacterium. RNAcentral's name for it is "bacterial SSU rRNA". It matches the Rfam family "Bacterial small subunit ribosomal RNA", at positions 8 to 524 of the family's 1533-position model. The record is from RNAcentral.